This 250-nucleotide ribosomal RNA is filed under the name uncultured bacterium. RNAcentral describes it as "partial 16S ribosomal RNA". It matches the Rfam family "Bacterial small subunit ribosomal RNA", at positions 355 to 596 of the family's 1533-position model. The record is from RNAcentral.
UCGAGAAUCUUGGACAAUGCGCGAAAGCGUGAUCCAGCGACGCCGCGUGGAGGAUGAAGGCCUUCGGGUCGUAAACUCCUGUUGUCAGGGAGCAACCGGUGGUGGGCUAAUACCCCAUCACUCUGAUAGUACCUGACGAGAAAGCCACGGCUAACUCUGUGCCAGCAGCCGCGGUAAUACAGAGGUGGCAAGCGUUGUUCGGAUUUACUGGGCGUAAAGGGUGCGUAGGAGGUCGUGUGUGUCGGAUGUG